Molecule: ribosomal RNA, 460 nt
Filed under: uncultured bacterium
Lineage: Bacteria
Description: partial 16S ribosomal RNA
Rfam family: Bacterial small subunit ribosomal RNA
Source: RNAcentral
CCUACGGGAGGCAGCAGUGAGGAAUAUUGGUCAAUGGGCUUACGCCUGAACCAGCCAAGUCGCGUGCGGGAAGACUGCCCUAUGGGUUGUAAACCUCUUUUGUCAGGGAGCAAUUGGCGCUACGUGUAGCGUUAUCGAGAGUACCUGAAGAAAAAGCAUCGGCUAACUCCGUGCCAGCAGCCGCGGUAAUACGGAGGAUGCGAGCGUUAUCCGGAUUUAUUGGGUUUUAAGGGUCAGUAGGCGGAAUGCAUAGUCAGGGGGAAAAUCGCGGGGCUAAACCUGACUGCGCCUUUGAAACUGGCGUUCUUGAGUGGGCGAGAAGUAGGCGGAAUGCGUGGUGUAGCGGUGAAAUGCAUAGAUAUCACGCAGAACUCCGAUCGCGAAGGCAGCAGACCGGCGCCCAACUGACGCUGAAGCACGAAAGCGUGGGUAUCGAACAGGAUUAGAUACCCGAGUAGUC